UUACUCAUGUUAGGACGAGGUUCUCCUCCUGUUCCUAACAUGGCUGUGGGGACACAUAAGGGCCGUUGUAAGGGUCUCUCCCCCCAUCCAAUUUUUAAAUAAUCGAGCCUUCGACUUUGCUCAUGUUAGGAUGAGGUUCUCCUCCUGUUCCUAACAUGGCUGUGGGGGCACAUAAGGGCCGUUGUAAGGGCCUCUCCCCCCAUCCGAUCUUUAAGUAACCGGAC
RNAcentral lists this long non-coding RNA (224 nucleotides) under Elaeis guineensis (African oil palm). RNAcentral describes it as "long non-coding RNA (EGUI_LNC073283)". Lineage: Eukaryota; Viridiplantae; Streptophyta; Magnoliopsida; Arecales; Arecaceae. The record is from RNAcentral.